Molecule: long non-coding RNA, 308 nt
Filed under: Mytilus galloprovincialis (Mediterranean mussel)
Lineage: Eukaryota; Metazoa; Mollusca; Bivalvia; Mytilida; Mytilidae
Source: RNAcentral
GUUGUUUCAAAAAUCCAGGCAUUCAGAUGGUGCCAAAUGUCUGCUACAAUAUGACAGCCCCACAAUAAGUGCUCUAUGCUUUCUGGUUCUUCCUUGCAAAAUGUACAUAAAUUACACUGUACACGGUUCAUCUUUAAAAGUAAAGUAUUAGUACCUGAAAUACUGUGAAUAAUUCGGUAUUGAAACCAACAGAGCUUGGUAUUUUUUGAAAUUUUAGUGACACAGUUAUGGAUUUUUUUCCAAUCUCCUACAACGUUAUUCAAUAUACCCUCCCAUUUUCGCUCAGCUGCUAUUACAACUGGUAUCAC